This 305-nucleotide ribosomal RNA is filed under the name uncultured bacterium. RNAcentral describes it as "bacterial SSU rRNA". It matches the Rfam family "Bacterial small subunit ribosomal RNA", at positions 338 to 635 of the family's 1533-position model. The record is from RNAcentral.
CCUACGGGGGGCAGCAGUAGGGAAUCUUCCACAAUGGACGAAAGUCUGAUGGAGCAACGCCGCGUGAACGAGGAAGGUCUUCGGAUCGUAAAGUUCUGUUGAAGGGGAAAAAGAGCGGAGAGAGGAAAUGAACUCCGAUUGAUAUUACCCUUCGAGGAAGUCACGGCUAACUACGUGCCAGCAGCCGCGGUAAUACGUAGGUGGCAAGCGUUGUCCGGAUUUACUGGGUGUAAAGGGCGUGUAGCCGGGUUGACAAGUCAGAUGUGAAAUCCUGCGGCUUAACCGCAGAACUGCAUUUGAAACUG